UUCUGCAUAUCCCAUAAGCUGAGGAAAAGAAACCAACAGGGAUUGCCUCAGUAGCGGCGAGUGAAGCGGCAAAAGCUCAGAUUUGAAAUCGUGUUUCGGCACGAGUUGUAGAUUGCAGGUUGGAGUCUUUGUGGAAGCGUGUGUCUAAGUCCCUUGGAACAGGGUGCCAUUGAGGGUGAGAGCCCCGUGAGACGCGUGCGGAAGCUGUAAGGCCCUUCUGACGAGUCGAGUUGUUUGGGAAUGCAGCUCUAAGUGGGUGGUAAAUUCCAUCUAAGGCUAAAUAUUGGCGAGAGACCGAUAGCGAACAAGUACUGUGAAGGAAAGAUGAAAAGCACUUUGAAAAGAGAGUGAAACAGCACGUGAAAUUGUUGAAAGGGAAGGGUAUUGGGCUCGACAUGGGAUUUGCGCACCGCUGCUCCUUGUGGGCGGCGCUCUGUGCUUUUCCUGGGCCAGCAUCGGUUUUUGCCGCAGGAGAAGGCGUGCUGGAAUGUGGCUCUUCGGAGUGUUAUAGCCAGUGCGAGAUGCUGCGUGCGGGGACCGAGGACUGCGACAUCUGUCUCGGAUGCUGGCACAACGGCGCAAUACCGCCCGUCUUGACCCACGGGACCAA
This 610-nucleotide ribosomal RNA is filed under the name Pichia occidentalis. Its description in RNAcentral is "eukaryotic LSU rRNA". It matches the Rfam family "Eukaryotic large subunit ribosomal RNA", at positions 34 to 664 of the family's 3401-position model. Lineage: Eukaryota; Fungi; Ascomycota; Pichiomycetes; Pichiales; Pichiaceae. The record is from RNAcentral.